AAACCUUAAAAAUAAUUUUUGAAAUUCAAGGUUCUAAUGCCCAAUAAUCACGCCUCCACUCCUUCAGGUGGGACUUCAAUGAGAUUCAAAGCCUCUUGAUGCCACUGAGGUUAAUAUUGCUGGUGGGUGGGUGAGGGUUUGUAAGAGAGAGAAAAGGGGAUAGGUGAGGCCUGUGAGCUAUGAACAAGAGAGGAAGGAGGGUGUGGUGGGGGUUGUGUGCUGUGAACAAGAGAGAGAGGGUAGGGUGGCAUUGUGAAGACGAGAAUGGAAGGUAGAUUGGUGGGGUGCUGCAACCAAGAGAGAAAUUUAGGACUUUUUAGUAGGGAGGGUGGAUGGAUCCAGUGGUGGCAAAGAGGAAAGAGAGAGGGGGAUAGAGCUGCAUUGAGGAGAAGGGCAUUUUUGGAAAAAAAAAGUAAUUUUAUUGCUUUAGUUGACCCAUUUUUCUUUGACUGAAAAAAUAUUCAUCAGAGUUCUAACAAAAGGACCAAAUAGUUGACAGAAUGAAAUAACAAAGACCUUUUAAUAUGCUUUUUAAAAUGCAAGGGCCAACUAGUUAAUUAUAACAAACUACUUGGACUAUUUUAUAAUUUACUCAAAAUUAAAUGAUAGCUUCCUUUUAUUUUUUUACUUGCUUACAGGCCUUGAAUUUCCACUUAGGUGACAAAUUGACCAU
Molecule: unclassified non-coding RNA, 673 nt
Filed under: Hevea brasiliensis (rubber tree)
Lineage: Eukaryota; Viridiplantae; Streptophyta; Magnoliopsida; Malpighiales; Euphorbiaceae
Source: RNAcentral